Molecule: RNA transcript, 2307 nt
Organism: Lucilia sericata (common green bottle fly)
Lineage: Eukaryota; Metazoa; Arthropoda; Insecta; Diptera; Calliphoridae
Gene name: RNA-binding protein 45
Exons: 8
Source: RefSeq, a predicted model, not a curated record
UGAGCACAUUUGACAGUAGACGCCGGUGUAGACACAUUUUUAAUGUUCGCCAUUUUAAUUUCACAAAACGAAAAAGUGCAGUCGGAAGAAAAAAUUAUUCAUUAACUAAUUUUCAAUUGUACAAGAAGGUCUUGUAGAAAAGAAGUCGUGUAAAGCAAAAAUAUUAAAAUUAUAUUUAAAUUUUAAAUCGGAAAACAAUUAAAAAUAUAAAAUAAAAUAUGUCUGAUUAUCGUUCGCAAUCUCGUGAUGGAAAUCGUGAAGGUGGUCGUGGAGGCGGCGGCCGUAAUGAUUACAGUGACGAUGACCCACCAAUGUCUCGUUUAUUCAUUAUCUGUAAUAAGGCUCAUACCGAAGAAGAUUUUCGUGAGGCUUUUUCGCCCUUCGGUGAAAUUGAAGAUAUUUGGGUUGUAAAAGAUAAACACACUGGAGACAACAAAGGUAUUGCCUAUGUUAAGUAUGCCAAGACCUCAGAUGCCGCCAAGGCUCAGGAAGAAAUGAAUGGCAAAACAAUUGGUACAUUGGAUCGUACUUUGAAGGUUUUAGUGGCUGCCAAUCGAAAUCAAGGAUCGAGUAAAUCAGAUAAUGAACAUGAAAAAUAUGUGCGACUUUUCAUAGUUUGUCCUAAAACAGCAACCGAAGAUGAAUUACGCGAAGAAUUUAAACAGUGGGGUCCCAUAGAAAACGUCACCAUAGUAAGAGAUAAACAAACUGGAACACCCAAAGGAUUUGGUUACGUUCGUUAUUCAAAAUUCUAUCAUGCUGCUGUAGCCUAUGAAAAUUGUCCUUCAAAAUAUAAAGCGGUCUUUGCGGAACCAAAAGGCUCAAACUCGCGCAAUCAACGCGAAGAAUUUGGCGGACGCAAUGAUAAUACAAUGAUGAGUGGUGGCAAUCGUGGUGGCGGAAAUAUGGGUGCUGGAUUUGGUGGUGGCAAUAGUAUGGGUGGUGGUAGUGUUGGUGGUAUGGGUGGAUCUGGUAUGAAUAGUGGUGGAUUUAACAAUGGCGGUGGUUUCAAUAAUGAUUGGGGUAACAAUUCUUUCAACAACGAUAUGUCACAAUUUUUGCGUAUGCAAAAUGUUCAAGUACCACAACCCACAUGCUUGGAAGUUAUUGUUAGUACUUGUGUUAAUCAGGAUCAAUUGUGGCGUUUAUUUGAUAUCAUUCCUGGUUUGGACUAUUGUCAAAUCACCAAAGAAUAUGGACCUCGUACAAAUGAGGCAAUUGUGGUCUAUGACAAUCCUGAGGCUGCUAUAUAUGCCAAGGACAAAUUACAUGGUCUUGAAUAUCCAGUGGGCGAACGUUUAAUUGUUAAAGUGUCUGGAAUGAGCUCAUCACGCAUUGAUACAUCUUUUAUUGAUAAGCGCACUAGAAAGGAUUCCAUUUGCAACGUACCAUUACCACCAUCUCAGCCAAUGGCAUCUAGCGAUGCUCCCGUUGCACAACGCUUAUUUAUUGUUUUGGCAUCGAAUUUACCUGUUUCUAUAUUGAAAAAUGUAUUCUCCUGCUGGAAAGGUCUAAUUGAUGUGUAUUUGCUGCCAAAUAAAAAUUGUGGUUAUGUCAAAUAUGCUGAUAGAGAUUCUGCACAAAAAGCCAUACAAAUUUUAAAUGGUGCCGAAAUUUGUGGCUCUAAAUUGAAGGUUAUGGAGGCAGAAGAAAGAGGCAAUGGUAGUGAUGGUGAUGAUGGCAGCCGCAAACGUAUGCGACGCAAUUAAAAAAAAACGUAAGUACUUUUACUUACAAAUAUUUUUUAACACUUUUUCCAAAAGUAUUUUAAAGUUUAAACGCUUUAGUUCUACUUUAAAGAAGGAGACAUCAAUAAAAUGAACGAAUGUACUAAACGAAAACAGAAUGAAACACAAUAUUUACUUGAAUGAUAAACUGACAGCUACGGAACAUAAAUUAACCACAACCACUGGAAAUAAGAAAACAAAACGGAUAAAAGAGCAAAAAGAAAAGGACUUGUAAGUAAAACCUGGACCUAUUAUCUAGCACUACAACUACAAACAAAAUUCCCCAACAAACUCAGACUACUACAACUAUUAUUACUAAUACUACUCUACUAUAUAUACUAUGUAUAAGAUCUUGAAAUCAACUUGAAUAAUGACUAGACAACCAAGAUUUUUUUUGGAAUGGGAGAAUGUUGAGAAUACGCUUACUAAUAUAAAUAAAGACGAUGCUGGAAAACAAAGAACUAAAAAGAACUUUUAACCACACAAAUCGUACCUCUCAUUACCCAUUACAAAAACAAACAAAAAAAAAAUAAAAUAAAUAAAUUUCUUAAACUCUUGAUGAUGAAUAAGUAGCAACACA